This 468-nucleotide ribosomal RNA is filed under the name uncultured bacterium. RNAcentral's name for it is "partial 16S ribosomal RNA". It matches the Rfam family "Bacterial small subunit ribosomal RNA", at positions 28 to 507 of the family's 1533-position model. The record is from RNAcentral.
GACGAACGCUGGCGGCGUGCUUAACACAUGCAAGUCGAACGGAAAGGCCCUGCUUUUGCGUGGUUCUCGAGUCGCGAACGGGUGAGUAACACGUGAGUAUCCUUGCCUUUACUUUGGGAUAACUUCAGGAAACUGGGGCUAAUACCUGAUAGGAGCUCCUGCUGCAUGGUGGGGGUUGGAACUUUUCGGCGGAUGUGGAUGGACUCGCGGGUUAUCAGCUUGUUGGUGGGGUAGUGGCUUACCAAGCGUUCGAAGGGUGGCCGGCCUGAGAGGGUGAUCGGCGACAAUGGGACUGAGAUACGGCGCAGACGCGUACGGGAGGCAGCAGGGGGGAAUAUUGCACAGUGGGCGGGAGCGUGAUGCAGAAACGCCGCGAGCGGGGUGAAGGCCUUGGGGUUGUAAACCGCAUUAGGCUGAGACGAAGCGGGAGUGACGGUAAUAGGUAAAGAAGCACCGGCUAACUACGUG